RNAcentral lists this unclassified non-coding RNA (313 nucleotides) under plant metagenome. RNAcentral's name for it is "partial contains small subunit ribosomal RNA, internal transcribed spacer 1, and 5.8S ribosomal RNA". The record is from RNAcentral.
UUUCCGUAGGUGAACCUGCGGAAGGAUCAUUAUUGAAUGAACUCGGUAGUGGUUGCAGCUGGCUCUCUCGAGAGCAUGUGCACACCCGCCAUCUUUAUCUUUCCACCUGUGCACUUCUUGUAGACUUUGGGAUUUGAAAACUUAUCCGGGGCAACUCGGUCGGGAGGAGCUGCUGUAGCAAUACGGCUCUCCUUGACAAGUCUUCGAAGUCUAUGUUUUUCAUAUACCCCAUAGUAUGUAACAGAAUGUAUACAAAUGAGCCUUAGUGCUUAUAAAACUUAUACAACUUUCAACAACGGAUCUCUUGGCUCUC